UCGGAUAUUGAUCAUGCUUAUAUUUUAUACAGAAUGUAAAAAUUCAAUUUUCAUAUACAUAUAUGUUGGAGUCACAGUGGACGGUUGACUUUUGCAUUCAGCAAGGAGAAAAAUGAGAUGAUGUCUAUGAAAGUAAUGGAAAUGAUCUGAUAUUUUCUUCUGGGUAGUACUGCAAUUUCAAUAGCUAUUGUCAGAAUCAGUAAUGUGUUCUUUUGUUCCUACAUUAACCUGCUCAAGAUUAUUUUGUUUACAACAACUUGAUUCUUCUCAGGUUAAGAAUUUGAUAACUUGCCGCCCUGAAGAUGAAGUUCCUAUUAGAAAUGUUACUAUAAGAAAAAUUCCUAGGUAUGCCUUGAUCUAUGUUUCAAAGAUGUAUAUCAUGGAGAUAUUAGUGUAUCUAGAUGUGGCAUGUGGCUCAAGUUUUCUGAACUUUACAAAAUGAUGAAGCUUGGACACAUUAAUUGGCUUCAUUCCAUCUGCUCAUGUUUUACAUCUAUACAAGUCAAACAACAAUCAUAGUCAUUGAUAACAUGUAAAAGGUAAUUAUAAAAAUAAGCAUGCAAGCACGGUAAGUGUUUCUUCACUUAAGCAUGUGUAGAUAANNNNNNNNNNNNNNNNNNNNGUAGUACUGCAAUUUCAAUAGCUAUUGUCUAGAAUCAGUAAUGUGUUCUUUUGUUCCUACAUUAACCUGCUCAAGAUUAUUUUGUUUACAACAACUU
This 719-nucleotide long non-coding RNA is filed under the name Musa acuminata (dwarf banana). RNAcentral's name for it is "long non-coding RNA (MACU_LNC000787)". Lineage: Eukaryota; Viridiplantae; Streptophyta; Magnoliopsida; Zingiberales; Musaceae. The record is from RNAcentral.